UACAGAGGGUGCAAGCGUUGUUCGGAAUUAUUGGGCGUAAAGAGCUCGUAGGCGGUUCGUCGCGUCGGCUGUGAAAACCUGAGGCUCAACCUCAGGCCUGCAGUCGAUACGGGCGGACUUGAGUUCGGCAGGGGAGACUGGAAUUCCUGGUGUAGCGGUGAAAUGCGCAGAUAUCGGGAGGAACACCGGUGGCGAAGGCGGGUCUCUGGGCCGAUACUGACGCUGAGGAGCGAAAGCGUGGGGAGCGAACAGG
RNAcentral lists this ribosomal RNA (253 nucleotides) under uncultured prokaryote. Its description in RNAcentral is "partial 16S ribosomal RNA". It matches the Rfam family "Bacterial small subunit ribosomal RNA", at positions 524 to 776 of the family's 1533-position model. The record is from RNAcentral.